UACGUAGGGAGCAAGCGCUGUCCGGAAUCAUUGGGCGUAAAGCGCGCGUAGGUGGUCCCGUAAGUCCGCUGUGAAAGUCAAAGGCUCAACCUUUGAAAGCCGAUGGAUACUGCAGGGCUAGAGUCCGGAAGAGGCGAGUGGAAUUCCUGGUGUAGCGGUGGAAUGCGCAGAUAUCAGGAGGAACACCAAUAGCGAAGGCAGCUCGCUGGGACGGUACUGACGCUAAGGCGCGAAAAGCGUGGGGGAGCGAACAGG
RNAcentral lists this ribosomal RNA (255 nucleotides) under uncultured bacterium. Its description in RNAcentral is "partial 16S ribosomal RNA". It matches the Rfam family "Bacterial small subunit ribosomal RNA", at positions 524 to 776 of the family's 1533-position model. The record is from RNAcentral.